This 490-nucleotide ribosomal RNA is filed under the name uncultured bacterium. RNAcentral describes it as "partial 16S ribosomal RNA". It matches the Rfam family "Bacterial small subunit ribosomal RNA", at positions 30 to 507 of the family's 1533-position model. The record is from RNAcentral.
AUUGAACGCUGGCGGCAGGCCUAACACAUGCAAGUCGAACGGUAACAGGAAGCAGCUUGCUGCUUCGCUGACGAGUGGCGGACGGGUGAGUAAUGUCUGGGAAGCUGCCUGAUGGAGGGGGAUAACUACUGGAAACGGUAGCUAAUACCGCAUAAUGUCGCAAGACCAAAGAGGGGGACCUUCGGGCCUCUUGCCAUCGGAUGUGCCCAGAUGGGAUUAGCUUGUUGGUGGGGUAACGGCUCACCAAGGCGACGAUCCCUAGCUGGUCUGAGAGGAUGACCAGCCACACUGGAACUGAGACACGGUCCAGACUCCUACGGGAGGCAGCAGUGGGGAAUAUUGCGCAAUGGGCGCAAGCCUGAUGCAGCCAUGCCGCGUGUAUGAAGAAGGCCUUCGGGUUGUAAAGUACUUUCAGCGGGGAGGAAGGGAGUAAAGUUAAUACCUUUGCUCAUUGACGUUACCCGCAGAAGAAGCACCGGCUAACUCCGUG